AGAGUUUGAUCCUGGCUCAGGAUGAACGCUAGCGGCAGGCUUAACACAUGCAAGUCGAACGGCAGCGGGGAUUCACUUCGGUGAAUCUGCCGGCGAGUGGCGCACGGGUGAGUAACACGUAUGCAACCUGCCUCUGUCAGGGGUAUAACUCUGCGAAAGUAGGGCUAAUACCGCGUAUAUUCCCGGAGGGCAUCCUCCGGGGAGGAAAGGUUUCGGCCGGACAGAGAUGGGCAUGCGGCGCAUUAGGCAGUUGGCGGGGUAACGGCCCACCAAACCGACGAUGCGUAGGGGUUCUGAGAGGAAGGUCCCCCACACUGGUACUGAGACACGGACCAGACUCCUACGGGAGGCAGCAGUGAGGAAUAUUGGUCAAUGGCCGGAAGGCUGAACCAGCCAAGCCGCGUGAAGGACGAAGGUGCCAAGCAUUGUAAACUUCUUUUGUCAAGGGACAAAAUCAGGCUCGAGAGCCUGACCGAGGGUACUUGAAGAAAAAGCAUCGGCUAACUCCGUG
RNAcentral lists this ribosomal RNA (511 nucleotides) under uncultured Bacteroidota bacterium. Its description in RNAcentral is "bacterial SSU rRNA". It matches the Rfam family "Bacterial small subunit ribosomal RNA", at positions 8 to 507 of the family's 1533-position model. The record is from RNAcentral. Lineage: Bacteria; Pseudomonadati; Bacteroidota.